UACGUAGGUGGCAAGCGUUGUCCGGAAUUACUGGGUGUAAAGGGAGCGCAGGCGGGACAGCAAGUCAGCGGUGAAAUACAUGGGCUUAACCCAUGAACUGCCGUUGAAACUGCCGUUCUUGAGUGGAUCAGAGGCAAGCGGAAUUCCGAGUGUAGCGGUGAAAUGCGUAGAUAUUCGGAGGAACACCAGUGGCGAAGGCGGCUUGCUGGGGUCUAACCGACGCUGAGGCUCGAAAGUGUGGGGAGCAAACAGGAUUAGAUAU
This 262-nucleotide ribosomal RNA is filed under the name uncultured prokaryote. Its description in RNAcentral is "partial 16S ribosomal RNA". It matches the Rfam family "Bacterial small subunit ribosomal RNA", at positions 524 to 785 of the family's 1533-position model. The record is from RNAcentral.